UACGGGGGGGGCAAGCGUUGUUCGGAAUUACUGGGCGUAAAGGGCUCGUAGGCGGCCAACUAAGUCAGACGUGAAAUCCCUCGGCUUAACCGGGGAACUGCGUCUGAUACUGGAUGGCUUGAAUCCGGGAGAGGGAUGCGGAAUUCCUGGUGUAGCGGUGGAAUGCGCAGAUAUCAGGAGGAACACCAAUAGCGAAGGCAGCUCGCUGGGACGGUAUUGACGCUCAUGCACGAAAGCGUGGGGAGCAAACAGG
RNAcentral lists this ribosomal RNA (253 nucleotides) under uncultured bacterium. Its description in RNAcentral is "partial 16S ribosomal RNA". It matches the Rfam family "Bacterial small subunit ribosomal RNA", at positions 524 to 776 of the family's 1533-position model. The record is from RNAcentral.